Small nucleolar RNA from Medicago truncatula (barrel medic), 81 nucleotides. It matches the Rfam family "small nucleolar RNA snoR117". The record is from Rfam. NCBI's taxonomy places the organism in Eukaryota, Viridiplantae, Streptophyta, Magnoliopsida, Fabales, Fabaceae.
UGCCUGUGAUGUAUGAAUAUUGUCCGUACCAUCUGAGAGAUUAUUCUUUGAUCGAUACAAUAAUUCUUGAAUCUGAGGCUU